GGAUGCGAUCAUACCAGCACUAAAGCACCGGAUCCCAUCAGAACUCCGAAGUUAAGCGUGCUUGGGCGAGAGUAGUACUUGGAUGGGCGACCUCCUGGGAAGUCCUCGUGUUGCAUUUC
RNAcentral lists this ribosomal RNA (119 nucleotides) under Aegilops tauschii subsp. strangulata. Lineage: Eukaryota; Viridiplantae; Streptophyta; Magnoliopsida; Poales; Poaceae. The record is from RNAcentral.